AAAAAAAAACGAAAACAA
RNAcentral lists this small RNA (18 nucleotides) under Arabidopsis thaliana (thale cress). Its description in RNAcentral is "ATSL107380". The record is from RNAcentral. Lineage: Eukaryota; Viridiplantae; Streptophyta; Magnoliopsida; Brassicales; Brassicaceae.